GGGUUGUGAGGUUAAGCGACUAAGCGUACACGGUGGAUGCCCUGGCAGUCAGAGGCGAUGAAGGGCGUGCUAAUCUGCGAUAAGCGCCGGUAAGGUGAUAUGAACCGUUAUAACCGGCGAUACCCGAAUGGGGAAACCCAGUGUGAUUCGUCACACUAUCAUUAACUGAAUCCAUAGGUUAAUGAGGCGAACCGGGGGAACUGAAACAUCUAAGUACCCCGAGGAAAAGAAAUCAACCGAGAUUCCCCCAGUAGCGGCGAGCGAACGGGGAGGAGCCCAGAGCCUGAAUCAGCAUGUGUGUUAGUGGAAGCGUCUGGAAAGGCGCGCGAUACAGGGUGACAGCCCCGUACACAAAAGCGCAUGUGCUGUGAGCUCGAUGAGUAGGGCGGGACACGUGGUAUCCUGUCUGAAUAUGGGGGGACCAUCCUCCAAGGCUAAAUACUCCUGACUGACCGAUAGUGAACCAGUACCGUGAGGGAAAGGCGAAAAGAACCCCGGCGAGGGGAGUGAAAAAGAACCUGAAACCGUGUACGUACAAGCAGUGGGAGCACAGGUUUACCUGUGUGACUGCGUACCUUUUGUAUAAUGGGUCAGCGACUUAUAUUCUGUAGCAAGGUUAACCGAAUAGGGGAGCCGGAGGGAAACCGAGUCUUAAUUGGGCGUUAAGUUGCAGGGUAUAGACCCGAAACCCGGUGAUCUAGCCAUGGGCAGGUUGAAGGUUGGGUAACACUAACUGGAGGACCGAACCGACUAAUGUUGAAAAAUUAGCGGAUGACCUGUGGCUGGGGGUGAAAGGCCAAUCAAACCGGGAGAUAGCUGGUUCUCCCCGAAAGCUAUUUAGGUAGCGCCUCGUGAAUUCAUCUCCGGGGGUAGAGCACUGUUUCGGCUAGGGGGCCAUCCCGGCUUACCAACCCGAUGCAAACUGCGAAUACCGGAGAAUGUUAUCACGGGAGACACACGGCGGGUGCUAACGUCCGUCGUGAAGAGGGAAACAACCCAGACCGCCAGCUAAGGUCCCAAAGUCAUGGUUAAGUGGGAAACGAUGUGGGAAGGCCCAGACAGCCAGGAUGUUGGCUUAGAAGCAGCCAUCAUUUAAAGAAAGCGUAAUAGCUCACUGGUCGAGUCGGCCUGCGCGGAAGAUGUAACGGGGCUAAACCAUGCACCGAAGCUGCGGCAGCGAACGUAUCACCCAAGACAACUUUACGGAGUUGACGAUUGACGGAGCGAAGCGACGUCAAAGCGUUCAUUAAAGUCGAGUUGGCUUAGGGAUACGUUCGUUGGGUAGGGGAGCGUUCUGUAAGCCUGUGAAGGUGUGUCGUGAGGCAUGCUGGAGGUAUCAGAAGUGCGAAUGCUGACAUAAGUAACGAUAAAGCGGGUGAAAAGCCCGCUCGCCGGAAGACCAAGGGUUCCUGUCCAACGUUAAUCGGGGCAGGGUGAGUCGACCCCUAAGGCGAGGCCGAAAGGCGUAGUCGAUGGGAAACGGGUUAAUAUUCCCGUACUUGGUGUUACUGCGAAGGGGGGACGGAGAAGGCUAUGUUGGCCGGGCGACGGUUGUCCCGGUUUAAGCGUGUAGGUGUGUGUUCCAGGUAAAUCCGGUUCACUUUAACACUGAGGCGUGACGACGAGGCACUACGGUGCUGAAGCAACAAAUGCCCUGCUUCCAGGAAAAGCCUCUAAGCAUCAGGUAACACGAAAUCGUACCCCAAACCGACACAGGUGGUCAGGUAGAGAAUACCAAGGCGCUUGAGAGAACUCGGGUGAAGGAACUAGGCAAAAUGGUGCCGUAACUUCGGGAGAAGGCACGCUGACACGUAGGUGAAGUGAUUUACUCACGGAGCUGAAGUCAGUCGAAGAUACCAGCUGGCUGCAACUGUUUAUUAAAAACACAGCACUGUGCAAACACGAAAGUGGACGUAUACGGUGUGACGCCUGCCCGGUGCCGGAAGGUUAAUUGAUGGGGUCAGCGCAAGCGAAGCUCCUGAUCGAAGCCCCGGUAAACGGCGGCCGUAACUAUAACGGUCCUAAGGUAGCGAAAUUCCUUGUCGGGUAAGUUCCGACCUGCACGAAUGGCGUAAUGAUGGCCAGGCUGUCUCCACCCGAGACUCAGUGAAAUUGAACUCGCUGUGAAGAUGCAGUGUACCCGCGGCAAGACGGAAAGACCCCGUGAACCUUUACUAUAGCUUGACACUGAACAUUGAGCCUUGAUGUGUAGGAUAGGUGGGAGGCUUUGAAGUGUGGACGCCAGUCUGCAUGGAGCCGACCUUGAAAUACCACCCUUUAAUGUUUGAUGUUCUAACGUGGACCCGUAAUCCGGGUUGCGGACAGUGUCUGGUGGGUAGUUUGACUGGGGCGGUCUCCUCCUAAAGAGUAACGGAGGAGCACGAAGGUUGGCUAAUCCUGGUCGGACAUCAGGAGGUUAGUGCAAUGGCAUAAGCCAGCUUGACUGCGAGCGUGACGGCGCGAGCAGGUGCGAAAGCAGGUCAUAGUGAUCCGGUGGUUCUGAAUGGAAGGGCCAUCGCUCAACGGAUAAAAGGUACUCCGGGGAUAACAGGCUGAUACCGCCCAAGAGUUCAUAUCGACGGCGGUGUUUGGCACCUCGAUGUCGGCUCAUCACAUCCUGGGGCUGAAGUAGGUCCCAAGGGUAUGGCUGUUCGCCAUUUAAAGUGGUACGCGAGCUGGGUUUAGAACGUCGUGAGACAGUUCGGUCCCUAUCUGCCGUGGGCGCUGGAGAACUGAGGGGGGCUGCUCCUAGUACGAGAGGACCGGAGUGGACGCAUCACUGGUGUUCGGGUUGUCAUGCCAAUGGCACUGCCCGGUAGCUAAAUGCGGAAGAGAUAAGUGCUGAAAGCAUCUAAGCACGAAACUUGCCCCGAGAUGAGUUCUCCCUGAGACUUAGAGUCUCCUGAAGGAACGUUGAAGACGACGACGUUGAUAGGCCGGGUGUGUAAGCGCAGCGAUGCGUUGAGCUAACCGGUACUAAUGAACCGUGAGGCUUAACCUUACAACGCCGAAG
This 3013-nucleotide ribosomal RNA is filed under the name Salmonella enterica subsp. enterica serovar 4,[5],12:i:-. RNAcentral's name for it is "23S ribosomal RNA". It matches the Rfam family "Bacterial large subunit ribosomal RNA". Lineage: Bacteria; Pseudomonadati; Pseudomonadota; Gammaproteobacteria; Enterobacterales; Enterobacteriaceae. The record is from RNAcentral.